GUGUUACGGUACAGAGUCAAUGUGGAGACCAUAUACAGGGGGUUACGGUACAGAGUCAAUGUGGAGGCUAUAUACAGGGGGUACCGGUACUAUGUCAAAGUGGAGGCUAUAUACAGGGGGUACCAGUACUAUGUCAAUGUGGAGUCUAUAUACAGGGAGUACCGGUACAGAGUCAAUGUGGAGGUUAUAUACAGGGGGUACCGGUACAGAGUCAAUGUGGAGGUUAUAUACAGGGGUACCGGUACAGAGUCAAUGUGGAGGCUAUAUACAGGGGGUACCGGUACUAUGUCAAUGUGGAGGCUAUAUACAGGGGGUACCAGUACAGAGUCAAUGUGGAGGCUAUAUACAGGGGGUAACGGUACAGAGUCAAUGUGGGGACUAUAUACAGGGGGGUACCGGUACAGAGUCAAUGUGGAGACUACAGUAUCAUGCCAGGUUUCAUGUGGACCCCAGGAAGAGUAGCUGACGCUUUGGCAGCGGCCAAUGGGGAUCCUAAUAAAUACCAAAAUACCAAUCAGAUGAGGGAGUGUCAUGACAGUCACAAUGUCACGACUUCUGCCGAAGUUGGUCCCUCUCCUUGUUCGGGCGGCGUUCGGCGGUCGACGCCAUCGGUCUUCUAGCCAUCGCCGCUCCACCUUUCAUUUUCCAUUUGUUUUGUCUUGUUUCCCCGCACUCCUGGUUCGCAUUCCCCCAUCAGACUAAAUGUAUAUUACCCUCUGUUUCCCCCAUGUCUGUGUGUGGAAUUGUUCUUUGUGCAGGGUGUUAUGCUACAGGCUGUCUUGC
Oncorhynchus tshawytscha (Chinook salmon) is the source of this 783-nucleotide long non-coding RNA. Lineage: Eukaryota; Metazoa; Chordata; Actinopteri; Salmoniformes; Salmonidae. The record is from Ensembl.